This 1846-nucleotide long non-coding RNA is filed under the name Sus scrofa (pig). RNAcentral's name for it is "lncRNA (ENSSSCG00030001466.1)". The record is from RNAcentral. Lineage: Eukaryota; Metazoa; Chordata; Mammalia; Artiodactyla; Suidae.
CAGAGAUCAAACCUGCAUCCUCAUGGAUACUAGUCGGAUUGUUACCACUGAGUCACAAUGGGAACUCCCUUUAUCGUCUUCCUCGUGUACUGACAUUAUAGGAAUUACCCAGUGCAAAUAGUUACUCUUUGUUCAUGGUGAUGGUCUCAGAGCUGCCUCUGCAGGUGACUUUGAGCAGUAAGUAAUAAUAUUUUUUAGAGUGUAAAUAGUAAAGUAUUCUUGUAAGAAUUGAUAUUAUGUAUUGUAUCAAAGAGAUUGGACUGUGGUUCAGGAGAUUUGGUUCUCAAUGUGACUCUUGACAAGUAAAUUGCACAUUUAUUUAAAUUAUCUAUUUUUUAUUUUUUAUUACUCAAUGAAUUUAUUACAUUUAUAGUUGUAAAAUUAUCUAUUUUUCUAUCUAUAUCUGUUCUUAUCUGUAUGUUCAAUAAAAAUGUGAUUAUACCUCUCUGACUACUUCAUUGUUUUAAGGAUCAGUAAAAAACAAUGAGAAGAUGUAAAAAUGUUUUGUCAAAUCAUAUAGCACUCAACAAGCACUUUAAAAUUUUGCUUGUCUACAAGUACAUAAUGGUGUGAUGAUUUGUCAAGGCCUGAUGAAGCAUCCCUGAACUAGAUUUGUCUUCUUAGACCAUAAUUUCUUUUAGAACCAUCUUUGGAACUACAAAUUAUGAGAUAAGGUUUAGAAACUACAGUGUGUGUGUGUGUGUGUGCGUGCGUGCGUGUGUGUGCGCGCGUGUGUGUAAGUAAACACAGGUGCCAUAAUGCAGUUACAUUGUAGGUAGAAUUCAGAUGAUUUUUUUUUUAAACAUAGGGAAACUGUUCGUAAAAAGUUUUAAUUGACCAUAUCUGAAUCAAUGCUGUUUUUUUUUUUUUUACCAUGAUGCCUGAAUUUGCUGAGCUGCUAUAACAAAUCAUAUUGCCUACCCUGUUUGUAAACCUUUUUUCAAUUUUAUGCUUACAAAAGAGUUUUAUUUUGUAGUCACUGUAUUUGAGAAUGCUCACAAAAAAGAGCAUUAAAAAGCUUUCUUUAAAUAGGAAUAUUAGUCUUUUAUUUUUGUUUUGUUUUUAAUAGCUUUAUUGAGAUAUGAUUGGCAUACAAUAAACUAUACAUAUUUAUAUAAUUUUGGUUAAGUUUUGACAGGUAUGCAUACAUUUGUGAAACCAUCACUACAAUCAUGAUGGUGAACAUCCCCUCAUUCCCAAAUUUAUUUAUGCUGCUUCAUGAUCCUUCUCCUUUCACUCUUCCCCAUACAUUACUUUUCAUUUUCUAGAAUGUUAAAUAAAUGGAUUAAAUAGUACAUAUUCUUUUUUGCCUGGCUUUCAUUACCAUAAGUAUUUUGAGUUUCUUCUCUGAAUUGUUUAUCAGUAGCUCAUUCUCGUUUAUUACUGGAUGGUAUUUCAUUGGAUGGAUAUACCACAUUUUGUCAAUCCAUUCAUCUGUUCAUAAAUAUUUUGGUGUUUUCUGGCUUUGAACUAUUACAAAUACUGCUGCUAUGAACACUGUAUACAUGUUUCAUUUCUCUUGGGUAAGUACCUAGGAGUGGAAUGGCUGAAUUUUAUGGUAGGUGUGUGUUUAAUUUAUUAAAAAACUGGGAGUUCCCAUCGUGGCACAGAGGAAACGAAUCCGACUAGGAACCAUGAGGUUGUGGGUUCGAUCACUGGCUUCGCUCAUGGGUUAAGGAUCCGACGUUGCCAUGAGCUGUGGUGUAGGUCGCAGACCCGGCUUGGAUCUGGUGUUGCUGUGGCUCUGGUGUAGGCCGGCAGCUACAGCUCCGGUUAGACCCCUCACUGGGAACCUCCAUGUGCCGCUGGAGCGGCUCCAGAAAAGACAAAAAAUAAAAAUAAAAAA